This 118-nucleotide ribosomal RNA is filed under the name Actinobacillus pleuropneumoniae serovar 3 str. JL03. The record is from RNAcentral. Lineage: Bacteria; Pseudomonadati; Pseudomonadota; Gammaproteobacteria; Pasteurellales; Pasteurellaceae.
UAACAGCCAUAGUGCCGUGGCUCUACCUGAAUCCAUUCCGAACUCAGAAGUAAAACGCGGUAACGCCGAUGGUAGUGUGGGGUUUCCCCAUGUGAGAGUAGGGCACUGUUAAUCUACU